CCCUUAGAUGUUCUGGGCCGCACGCGCGCUACACUGAUGCAUUCAACGAGUUUCUUCCUGGUCCGAGAGGAAUGGGUAACCUUUUGAAAGUGCAUCGUGAUAGGGAUAGACUAUUGCAAUUAUUGGUCUUCAACGAGGAAUUCCUAGUAGACGUAGUUCAUCAGACUGCAUCGAUUACGUCCCUGCCCUUUGUACACACCGCCCGUCGCUCCUACCGAUUGAAUGCUCAGGUGAGCCAUUCGGACUUUCAUCAUGCUGAUUUCCAGUUUUGAUGAAGGAAAGUCUUGCGAACCUUAUCAUUUAGAGGAAGGAGAAGUCGUAACA
This 324-nucleotide ribosomal RNA is filed under the name uncultured eukaryote. RNAcentral's name for it is "partial 18S ribosomal RNA". It matches the Rfam family "Eukaryotic small subunit ribosomal RNA", at positions 1470 to 1796 of the family's 1831-position model. The record is from RNAcentral.